Carcharodon carcharias (great white shark) is the source of this 100-nucleotide small nucleolar RNA. RefSeq annotates it as small nucleolar RNA SNORD16. The transcript has a single exon. Lineage: Eukaryota; Metazoa; Chordata; Chondrichthyes; Lamniformes; Lamnidae. The record is from RefSeq and is a predicted model, not a curated record.
UGCUAUGAUGGUGUAAUUUGCGUCUUACACUGUACAGCACGACAGUUGCCUGCUGUCAUUAAGCUGUUACAGAGGAAUGACGAACAUUGAAAUCUGAGCA